AGUGAACGCUGGCGGUAGGCCUAACACAUGCAAGUCGAACGGCAGCACAGUAAGAGCUUGCUCUUACGGGUGGCGAGUGGCGGACGGGUGAGGAAUACAUCGGAAUCUACUUUUUCGUGGGGGAUAACGUAGGGAAACUUACGCUAAUACCGCAUACGACCUACGGGUGAAAGCAGGGGAUCUUCGGACCUUGCGCGAUUGAAUGAGCCGAUGUCGGAUUAGCUAGUUGGCGGGGUAAAGGCCCACCAAGGCGACGAUCCGUAGCUGGUCUGAGAGGAUGAUCGGCCACACUGGAACUGAGACACGGUCCAGACGCCUACGGGAGGCAGAAGUGGGGAAUAGUGGACAAUGGGCGCAAGCCUGAUCCAGCCAUACCGGGGGGGUGAAGAAGGCCUUCGGGUUGUAAAGCCCUUUUGUUGGGAAAGAAAAGCAGCAGGUUAAUACCCCGCUGUUCUGACGGUGCCCAAAGAAUAAGCACCGGCUAACUUCGUG
This 492-nucleotide ribosomal RNA is filed under the name uncultured bacterium. Its description in RNAcentral is "partial 16S ribosomal RNA". It matches the Rfam family "Bacterial small subunit ribosomal RNA", at positions 29 to 507 of the family's 1533-position model. The record is from RNAcentral.